GGGUUGUAAACUUCUUUUAUAAAGGAAUAAAGUCGGGUAUGCAUACCCGUUUGCAUGUACUUUAUGAAUAAGGAUCGGCUAACUCCGUGCCAGCAGCCGCGGUAAUACGGAGGAUCCGAGCGUUAUCCGGAUUUAUUGGGUUUAAAGGGAGCGUAGAUGGAUGUUUAAGUCAGUUGUGAAAGUUUGCGGCUCAACCGUAAAAUUGCAGUUGAUACUGGAUGUCUUGAGUGCAGUUGAGGCAGGCGGAAUUCGUGGUGUAGCGGUGAAAUGCUUAGAUAUCACGAAGAACUCCGAUUGCGAAGGCAGCCUGCUAAGCUGCAACUGACAUUGAGGCUCGAAAGUGUGGGUAUCAAACAGGAUUAGAUACCCUGGUAGUCCACACGGUAAACGAUGAAUACUCGCUGUUUGCGAUAUACGGCAAGCGGCCAAGCGAAAGCGUUAAGUAUUCCACCUGGGGAGUA
RNAcentral lists this ribosomal RNA (461 nucleotides) under uncultured bacterium. RNAcentral describes it as "bacterial SSU rRNA". It matches the Rfam family "Bacterial small subunit ribosomal RNA", at positions 420 to 882 of the family's 1533-position model. The record is from RNAcentral.